RNAcentral lists this ribosomal RNA (253 nucleotides) under uncultured bacterium. RNAcentral describes it as "partial 16S ribosomal RNA". It matches the Rfam family "Bacterial small subunit ribosomal RNA", at positions 524 to 776 of the family's 1533-position model. The record is from RNAcentral.
UACGGAGGGUGCAAACGUUGCUCGGAAUUAUUGGGCGUAAAGCGCACGUAGGCGGCUAUUCAAGUCGGGGGUGAAAGCCCGGGGCUCAACCCCGGAACAGCCCUCGAAACUAGAUAGCUAGAAUCUUGGAGAGGUCAGUGGAAUUCCGAGUGUAGAGGUGAAAUUCGUAGAUAUUCGGAAGAACACCAGUGGCGAAGGCGACUGACUGGACAAGUAUUGACGCUGAGGUGCGAAAGCGUGGGGAGCAAACAGG